RNAcentral lists this ribosomal RNA (254 nucleotides) under uncultured bacterium. RNAcentral's name for it is "partial 16S ribosomal RNA". It matches the Rfam family "Bacterial small subunit ribosomal RNA", at positions 29 to 320 of the family's 1533-position model. The record is from RNAcentral.
AGUGAAUGCUAGGGGUAUGCUUAACACAUGCAAGUUUAACAGGGCGUUGGCUCGGUAGCGUACGGGUGAGUAUGGGCAGAAGAACUAAAGAGUAAGUUUGGGAUAAGAGUUUGUCUGUAUAAAUACCAAAUAUUAAAAAAGAUUUUUAUCGCUUACUUUUCGGCUUCUGUAGGAUUAGAUUGUUGGUGGUGUAAUGGACUACCAAGUCGAUGAUCCUUAGUUGGUCUGAGAGGAUGAUCAGCCACACUGGGACU